This 494-nucleotide ribosomal RNA is filed under the name uncultured bacterium. RNAcentral's name for it is "partial 16S ribosomal RNA". It matches the Rfam family "Bacterial small subunit ribosomal RNA", at positions 28 to 507 of the family's 1533-position model. The record is from RNAcentral.
GACGAACGCUGGCGGCGUGCUUAACACAUGCAAGUCGAACGGUGAAGCGCCUUCCUUUUUGGUGGGUGUGGAUGAGUGGCGAACGGGUGAGUAACACGUGAGUAACCUGCCCCCUUCUCCUGGAUAACCGCAUGAAAGUGUGGCUAAUACGGGAUAUUCUGGGUCUGUCGCAUGAUGGGUCUGGGAAAGAUAUUGUUUCGGUGGGGGAUGGGCUCGCGGCCUAUCAGCUUGUUGGUGGGGUGAUGGCCUACCAAGGCGGUGACGGGUAGCCGGCCUGAGAGGGUGGACGGUCACACUGGGACUGAGACACGGCCCAGACUCCUACGGGAGGCAGCAGUGGGGAAUAUUGCACAAUGGGCGCAAGCCUGAUGCAGCGACGCCGCGUGAGGGAUGGAGGCCUGCGGGUUGUGAACCUCUUUCGCCAGUGAAGCAGGCCUGCCUCGUUUGUGGGUGGGUUGACGGUAGCUGGAUAAGAAGCGCCGGCUAACUACGUG